AAUCAACGCUGGCGGCGUGCCUCAGACAUGCAAGUCGAACGCGAAAGUUUCCUUCGGGGAACAAGUAGAGUGGCGCACGGGUGAGUAACACGUAGGUAAUCUACCUUUGGAUGGGGAAUAACAAUCGGAAACGGUUGCUAAUACCGCAUAAUGCAGCGGCACCUAAUGGUGACAGUUGUUAAAGCGGGGAUCGAAAGACCUCGCGUCUGAAGAGGAGCCUGCGGCGGAUUAGCAGUUGGUAAGGUAAUGGCUUACCAAGGCUACGAUCCGUAACCGGCCUGAGAGGGCGGUCGGUCACACUGACACUGACAUACGGGUCAGACUCC
This 326-nucleotide ribosomal RNA is filed under the name uncultured bacterium. RNAcentral describes it as "bacterial SSU rRNA". It matches the Rfam family "Bacterial small subunit ribosomal RNA", at positions 32 to 339 of the family's 1533-position model. The record is from RNAcentral.